Molecule: non-coding RNA, 91 nt
Organism: Podospora didyma
Lineage: Eukaryota; Fungi; Ascomycota; Sordariomycetes; Sordariales; Podosporaceae
Source: the annotation of a GenBank genome assembly
GGGCUAAUGGUCUAGUGGUAUGAUUUUCGCUUCGCAUCGUCAAAGAUGUUCGCCUUGUGAAAGGUCCCCGGUUCAAUCCCGGGUUAGUCCA